Molecule: ribosomal RNA, 404 nt
Filed under: uncultured bacterium
Lineage: Bacteria
Description: partial 16S ribosomal RNA
Rfam family: Bacterial small subunit ribosomal RNA
Source: RNAcentral
AUUGAACGCUGGCGGCAGGCCUAACACAUGCAAGUCGAGCGAGCGGCGGAUGGGUGAGUAAUGCCUGGGAAUUGCCCAGUCGAGGGUGAUAAAAGUUGGAAACGACUGCUAAUACCGCAUAUGAUUGGAUUGUCCAGGUGGGGUUAGCUAGUUGGUGGGGUAAUGGCUCACCAAGGCGACGAUCCAUAGCUGGUCUGAGCGGAUGAUAGGCAACACUGGAACUGAGAAACGGUCCAGACUCCUACGGGAGGCAGCAGUGGGGAAUAGUGCACAAUGGGGGAAACCCUGAUGCAGCCAGGCCGGGUGUGGGAAGAAGGCCUUCGGGUUUUAAAUCGUUUUCAGCGAGGAGGCGUUACUUGCAGAAGAAGCACCGGCUAACUCCGUGCCAGCCGCCGCGGUAAUAC